Long non-coding RNA from Conger conger (European conger), 636 nucleotides. RefSeq lists it as uncharacterized. The transcript is spliced from 2 exons. NCBI's taxonomy places the organism in Eukaryota, Metazoa, Chordata, Actinopteri, Anguilliformes, Congridae. The record is from RefSeq and is a predicted model, not a curated record.
CGCAGUUGACUGCUUCGGGUUAACUUCCUAGCUAGAUCAGCUGUUUCCUGUAGCUAGUGUGAGUGCCCUGUUUGUCACAGAGCACGUUCGGUUGAUGAGCAGAGGAGAUCGCGUUAGUCUAACUCGCUAACAUAGCUAGCUACAGAUUAUCCUCAUGCUAAUUCCGUGCAUGAACUAAAAAUACGACAGUUCUUGCUUAUAGAUAUAAAGUCACAAUUGCACCACUUGACUAGCCAGCAUGAUACAAGUAUCUUUUAUUCAACUAGUUUAGCCAAUACUGUCGAUUUCCGGUUUGGAUGCUAGUAUGUGUAUUUUCUCAGCAACCACAGGAAUGUCCAGCAAAGUGCCGUUCCCGGCAUUCCGGGGCUGGCCAGCCCGGGAGAGAUGAACAGGUGGAAAGGGUCUGCCAGGCAGAGGUGCGGUGUGGCUGUGACCCCCAUACACGCCAUUCGCUGGAGCGCUAUUAAAACGUUAUUAAGACGGCCUAUGACAUACCUGCUUAUGAAUUUCAAAAGCAGAAGUCAACCAUGAUGCAAUAUAAAGAAAUAGCUACUUCAUGGUUGUUGCUCUAGAAAGAGAGAGCCACAGGCAUAAAGUUAAAAACAAUCCUACAAAUAAAGUUAAAAAGACAGAUCA